RNAcentral lists this ribosomal RNA (404 nucleotides) under Verrucomicrobiota bacterium. RNAcentral describes it as "Verrucomicrobia bacterium partial 16S ribosomal RNA". It matches the Rfam family "Bacterial small subunit ribosomal RNA", at positions 355 to 776 of the family's 1533-position model. The record is from RNAcentral. Lineage: Bacteria; Pseudomonadati; Verrucomicrobiota.
UGGGGAAUAUUGCACAAUGGGGGAAACCCUGAUGCAGCGACGCCGCGUGAGCGAUGAAGGCUUUCGAGUCGUAAAGCUCUGUCCUAUGGGAAGAUAAUGACGGUACCAUAGAAGAAAGCCCCGGCUAAUUACGUGCCAGCAGCCGCGGUAAUACGUAAGGGGCGAGCGUUGUCCGGAAUUGUUGGGCGUAAAGAGUGCGUAGGCGGCAAAUUAAGUCAGAUGUGAAAACUAAGGGCUCAACCCAUAGAUUGCAUCUGAAACUGAUAUGCUUGAGUCAAGGAGAGGAAAGUGGAAUUCCUAGUGUAGCGGUGGAAUGCGUAGAUAUGAGGAGGAAUACCGGUGGCGAAAGCGACUUUCUGGACUUGAACUGACGCUGAGGCACGAAAGCGUGGGGAGCAAACAGG